Molecule: long non-coding RNA, 1060 nt
Organism: Drosophila sechellia
Lineage: Eukaryota; Metazoa; Arthropoda; Insecta; Diptera; Drosophilidae
Exons: 2
Source: RefSeq, a predicted model, not a curated record
GCAAGAUGACCCACCGAAUGAGUUGUUUUGGCCAAAAACGGAAUCCGUGAUUCACUCUAAAGCCCCGGGCACAUGUCAAAGCGAUAAGAUAUGGGAUUCCUUCCAGACUAAUGAGCGAACUGGACCCACUGGCAGCCGCUCUCCAAAUGGCCAAUUCCCGGGGUGAGCAGGCCCAGUUAUCUCGGCCAGAUUGCAUUUAUGUUUGUGCCGGCCGUUAUCUCCUCCGGAUUCUGUCCGUCAGUCACUUGUUAACGGAUAAUUGAAGCUAAUCUCAUGGUCGUUGGCUUUGUGCAUCCUCGGAUCGCGGCCGAGGAACGACCCUUGACCCUGGCCCCCUAACCCCUGUCCAUCCAACAACCCGUGGCAAGCAAACCAUUCGCAGACACGGGGCUUCUUUUCCAACACAAAUAUAUAUUUCCAAUGUUUCUCCUUGAUUUGAAAUCAGUGAACGAACGAAAAGCAUCACACUAAAAUUCUUACAUACUUAAGCACUAACAACAUAUAGACCCUUUACACAGAUUAGAGAUAAAUAUUUCAUUGAAUUUUCAAUUAGUUGUGUUGUCAGAUUACGACGGGCUGCAUAAUCCCAAUGAAUUCGAUUUGGCUUGCACUCACUGCAACUCGAUAACAUUCAUAUUUGAAUAUGAGAUUGUUUUGGAUUGGCACAAUUCGUUUUGGUUUCUCAUUGUUUCAUUGUUCCAUAUGUGGUUUAUGUUCACUGAUAAUCGCCAUCGCCAUCGCCAUCGCCGGAACACUUCUGGUUUUCAAUUGAGCUUCCGCUGCCUCGGAAUUGAAUUGAAUUGAAAUUGCAAUUGCCAAUUAAUUUAUUUGCGAUUUGUUGACCAGUUCGUCACGCUCGCCAACUAUCCACGUUUGCACAAUGCCACUACACACACACACACACACAUGGGCCACAUAUUGCGUAUUUAUGCAGGAUAUAUGGCAGCGGAGGCUUCCUGUUAGCCAACUGCUCUAUUUGCAUGGAACUUAAUUGAAAACAAAAUGAGAAAUAAGAAAAUAAACGCAACGCAAACACCAGCGGCGCUGUGUCCGCGUACAA